RNAcentral lists this long non-coding RNA (1123 nucleotides) under Homo sapiens (human). RNAcentral's name for it is "non-protein coding lnc-ZNF646-1:1". The record is from RNAcentral. Lineage: Eukaryota; Metazoa; Chordata; Mammalia; Primates; Hominidae.
UCUUAUGAGAAGUGACACCACAAAGAAACAAGCUUACUAGUCACGGUCCCAGCCAGUGUUCAAAUCCCAAACACCUGCUCUCUGAGCCCUGACUAUUGCUUUGCUAGCAUUACACAUCUUAUGGUUUGGCUGUUAAUUCUUCAUCACCAGCACCAGAGUCCAGGCUGGCAAAGGGCUAGGAAACCGAUCAUCUGCCUCCUCUACACCCAGAACCCUGUGUGGUGACCCAAAACAAAUGGAAAGAACCAACCUCAGAUGAAAUUUGAACCCAGCCUCAGCUCCAGCGACAGAGUCCUCCUCCCGGCAGCGACCGAACCUCCAGCCACAAUUCUCAAUCCUCCACCUCUAGAUGCAGUUUCCUGGGCUCGGGGAGCCCUUGCCUGCCUUCUCCAACGGGAAAGCCCCUUUACAUCCUUCAAGAACCCCCUUCCCUAGUGCCCUCAGGAAUACUUUAUGGCAGUAGAGAGGUAAGGGCCCCACGCCGCUCUGGACCUCAGUUUCCUCAUCAGUAAAAUGGGGUCCCUUAAGUUUGUGGGAGUUUGAAGGGCGGUGGGGCCUACGAAGCGCGCCGAGGAGCCGAGAGUUGCAGAAACCCGGAGCUCCUCGCUCCUCGCAACCGUCUGUACGCGGCGCCCCCGCCAGCCAGGCAGCCCCUGGAGGGCAGGACCCCGGUUAUAAGCCUCAGAAAACGUGGCUUCGGAGGACGUGGCAAGGAGGACUGAACGAAGGAUGAGGAGAUGAACAAAUGAAUGGACGGAAGGCCGAAUGAGGGACAAAGGCUUGCAAGAUGGCGUUCUCUAGGACCGCGGGAGUGGUGGCCGGGCCUCAGCAGGGGAGGGGGCCGCCGGCGCCUGGGAUCUUGCAGCGCGGGCCACGCGACCGGGACAAAAACCCAAAACAUGGCGGGCUCUAGGACCCCCGGGACCACACCGCGCCGGGCCAGCAGCCGCGCGGGCCGAGCCUGGGUGUCCGCAGCCCAGAACCGCGGAGACAGCCGGCGGGUUCUAGGACCUGCUGGGCCCGCAAUGCGCCCGGGGCCGCUCACAGCCCGCCCCGCCCGCGCUGCUCGCGCUGGGCCAACCCGGCCCGCCCUCGGCGCCCGCAGGGAAACUGAGGCCAGCUC